GGGGCCGUGGCGCAGUUGGUUAGCGCGCUUUCCUGUCAAGAAAGAGGUCGCGGGUUCGAGUCCCGUCGGCCCCG
RNAcentral lists this transfer RNA (74 nucleotides) under bacterium. RNAcentral's name for it is "tRNA-Asp". It matches the Rfam family "tRNA". Rfam says of the family: Transfer RNA (tRNA) molecules are approximately 80 nucleotides in length. The record is from RNAcentral.